Molecule: ribosomal RNA, 513 nt
Filed under: Triticum aestivum (bread wheat)
Lineage: Eukaryota; Viridiplantae; Streptophyta; Magnoliopsida; Poales; Poaceae
Description: partial small subunit ribosomal RNA
Source: RNAcentral
AUGCCUCGUCAGAAAAAUAGCAAAUCCAUAAGGACUGAAUGCCCUUCAAUCAUUUGAUUGACCCUUCACAAUGACAAUCUAUGGUACAUCAAUGAAUUCGGGUAUGAUCAUAACCAUCCGUUAUCAAGAAGUGGUUCUGAGAAGACGCAUUGGAAAUCCCAUCAUCAUGUUGAUAUAUACCUUCAACAACUAAUAACCAAUAUGAGAGCAAACAAUGUUCACAUGUGGAAGGUGUACAUGUUUCUUGGUAUUUUCUUUGGGAGGAUGGAAAACAUUCCUUUCAGUAAAUGCAGCUUAAAAACUUUAAGUGGUCACAUCAAUAAAGAGCUUGCUCAUGAUAAUGUCAAAAAGACAUUUGAUGUUUUUGAUCAUAUAUGUUUUCAAGAUCCUGAUUUCGCCUACCGGGUUCAGGCUAACUCACAAAGCAGAAUUGAUACUUUACUCUGGAUAAAUGGUCGUAGUCGAUCAAAAUAUAAAUACUUUGGAGAUAUUAUUACUUUUAAUACAACUUAG